UGAAAAGAUGAUGCAGUGUUCAUUGCUUCCUAUGAAGUCCAAUUUAAAGUUGUUCUGUGGCAAGAUCAUGACUUAAGAGAUUAACCAUACUUAUCUAAUAUGGUAGUUUCUCAGGCAAUGUAAGUAUAAUUGCUAAAAAAUGAAUUGGUGGUCUUUGCUGUGGCACCUUGUGCAUCAUCAGGUCCCUGCAACCUAAGGGAUGUCUCCCUCUCCUCACUUUCCUGAGAAAUAGACUCAAGUGUACACUGACUGGAGAGGAAGUAGAGAAGAUAAUGUAGCAGUGCUGGGUCAGAAUCCACAGCAAGGUUCAAGCUGAUACUGCAAGCCUUGCUGGAUUCAUGGAUAUGUGUGAGAUGGAGCAAACAUCAGCAUCAAGCAGACAGGCAGAGACACAGAUACAGUGCUUUCAUGUGCUGAUUCCUCCAAGGCUCACAACUGAGUCUGGGCUAAAACAAAACCAGGAGCUGUGGGGCAGGGAUUGUGCUGCAUCAGUUUAAGCUGCUGAUUGGGAGGCUCACAUCAAAUACCAGGCAUACAAAAAUUAGCUUCAUCUUAUAUAAGAGGCAAGAUAGACAUAAAGAGAAGAAUGAACUCCCUGUCACCCUUCUUUUUGAUCCAGAGCUGAUACCUUUUGGAGAAAUGCACUGUUACAGGUGUGGACUGUGGACUUCACCCUGGAGGAGCAGCAGGACCUGGACACUUUAAAAGGUUUAAUAUUAUCUGUACCCCUUGUGUAGCCCCUGCAUUUCCAGGCAAAAGAAGGAAAUCAUUUUGCUGAUGGAGCAACUGUGUUCAGCAUUAAGUAGCACAAUCCUUUGUCUCUUACCCAGGUGAAAAUACAA
RNAcentral lists this long non-coding RNA (842 nucleotides) under Oryctolagus cuniculus (rabbit). RNAcentral describes it as "lncRNA (ENSOCUG00000030805.1)". The record is from RNAcentral. Lineage: Eukaryota; Metazoa; Chordata; Mammalia; Lagomorpha; Leporidae.